UACGGAGGGGGCAAGCGUUGUUCGGAUUUACUGGGCGUAAAGGGUCCGUAGGUGGUUGUGUAAGUCUGGUGUGCAAUCUUCGCCGCUUAACGGGGAGAAGCCACUGGAAACUGCGCAACUUGAGUAUGGUAGAGGCAAGCGGAAUUCCUGGUGUAGCGGUGGAAUGUGUAGAUAUCAGGAAGAACAUCUGUGGCGAAGGCGGCUUGCUGGGCCAUCACUGACACUGAGGGACGAAAGCGUGGGGAGCAAACGGG
Molecule: ribosomal RNA, 254 nt
Filed under: uncultured bacterium
Lineage: Bacteria
Description: partial 16S ribosomal RNA
Rfam family: Bacterial small subunit ribosomal RNA
Source: RNAcentral